AUUCCAGCUCCAAUAGCGUAUAUUAAUGUUGUUGCAGUUAAAAAGCUCGUAGUUGGAUUCCUGGCCUGGGGUAGCCGGUCCGCCUUGCAAAAGGUGCGCACUGAGCGGCCUCGGCCAUCCUUGGGAAGAGCAGUCCUGGCAUUCAGUUGUCGGGGUUGGGAUUCCCGACGUUUACUGUGAAAAAAUCAGAGUGUUCAACGCAGGCUUACGCCUUGAAUACAUUAGCAUGGAAUAAUGAGAUAGGACCUUGGCGGUCUAUUUUGUUGGUUUGCACGCCGAGGUAAUGAUUAAAAGGGACGGUUGGGGUUCUUCGUAUUCAAUUGUCAGAGGUGAAAUUCUUGGAUUUAUGGAAGACGAACUGCUGCGAAAGCGUCGAACAAGGACGUUCUCAUCG
This 394-nucleotide ribosomal RNA is filed under the name Pelagophyceae sp. Its description in RNAcentral is "partial small subunit ribosomal RNA". It matches the Rfam family "Eukaryotic small subunit ribosomal RNA", at positions 582 to 975 of the family's 1831-position model. Lineage: Eukaryota; Pelagophyceae. The record is from RNAcentral.